GUUUGAUCAUGGCUCAGAUUGAACGCUGGCGGCAGGCCUAACACAUGCAAGUCGAGCGGUAGCACAGAGAGCUUGCUCUCGGGUGACGAGCGGCGGACGGGUGAGUAAUGUCUGGGAAACUGCCUGAUGGAGGGGGAUAACUACUGGAAACGGUAGCUAAUACCGCAUAACGUCGCAAGACCAAAGUGGGGGACCUUCGGGCCUCAUGCCAUCAGAUGUGCCCAGAUGGGAUUAGCUAGUAGGUGGGGUAAUGGCUCACCUAGGCGACGAUCCCUAGCUGGUCUGAGAGGAUGACCAGCCACACUGGAACUGAGACACGGUCCAGACUCCUACGGGAGGCAGCAGUGGGGAAUAUUGCACAAUGGGCGCAAGCCUGAUGCAGCCAUGCCGCGUGUAUGAAGAAGGCCUUCGGGUUGUAAAGUACUUUCAGCGAGGAGGAAGGCAUUAAGGUUAAUAACCUUAGUGAUUGACGUUACUCGCAGAAGAAGCACCGGCUAACUCCGUGCCAGCAGCCGCGGUAAUACGGAGGGUGCAAGCGUUAAUCGGAAUUACUGGGCGUAAAGCGCACGCAGGCGGUCUGUUAAGUCAGAUGUGAAAUCCCCGGGCUCAACCUGGGAACUGCAUUUGAAACUGGCAGGCUUGAGUCUUGUAGAGGGGGGUAGAAUUCCAGGUGUAGCGGUGAAAUGCGUAGAGAUCUGGAGGAAUACCGGUGGCGAAGGCGGCCCCCUGGACAAAGACUGACGCUCAGGUGCGAAAGCGUGGGGAGCAAACAGGAUUAGAUACCCUGGUAGCCCACGCUGUAAACGAUGUCGACUUGGAGGUUGUUCCCUUGAGGAGUGGCUUCCGGAGCUAACGCGUUAAGUCGACCGCCUGGGGAGUACGGCCGCAAGGUUAAAACUCAAAGGAAUUGACGGGGCCCCGCACAAGCAGCGGAGCAUGCGGCUUAAUUCGACGCAACGCGAAGAACCUUACCAAGGCUUGGCAUAUACAGGAAUAUGGCAGAGAUGUCAUAGCGGUAAAACGUCUGUAUACAGGUGGUGCAUGGUUGUCGUCAGCUCGUGUCGUGAGAUGUUGGGUUAAGUCCCGCAACGAGCGCAACCCUCGUUCUGUGUUGCCAGCAUUUAGUUGGGGACUCACAGGAGACUGCCGGGGUUAACUCGGAGGAAGGUGGGGAUGACGUCAAAUCAUCAUGCCCCUUAUGUCUUGGGCUGCACGCAUGCUACAAUGGCUGGUACAAAGGGCUACAAUACUGCAAAGUGGAGCGAAUCCCAAAAAGCCAGUCUCAGUUCGGAUUGGGGUCUGCAACUCGACCCCAUGAAGUCGGAGUUGCUAGUAAUCGUAGAUCAGCAACGCUACGGUGAAUACGUUCCCGGGGCUUGUACACACCGCCCGUCACAUCACGAAAGUCGGUAACACCCAAAGUCAGUGGCCCAACCGCAAGGAGGGAGCUGCCAAAGGUGGGAUCGGUGAUUGGGAUGAAGUCGUAACAAGGUAACCGUAGA
This 1502-nucleotide ribosomal RNA is filed under the name uncultured bacterium. Its description in RNAcentral is "partial 16S ribosomal RNA". It matches the Rfam family "Bacterial small subunit ribosomal RNA". The record is from RNAcentral.